This 477-nucleotide long non-coding RNA is filed under the name Homo sapiens (human). Its description in RNAcentral is "non-protein coding lnc-NAP1L4-1:6". Lineage: Eukaryota; Metazoa; Chordata; Mammalia; Primates; Hominidae. The record is from RNAcentral.
UUCCUAUCCUAUUCCUUGUUUUGCGUGACUUUCAAUUUCCUGGCAUGCUUUUAAAAUGCGCUGCACACAAGCAAAUGGCUCCUCAGGCAAGCGAGGCCCAGCAGGCAGCGUGGCUGGACUUUCUGCUCCUCUUAGGCUUGUUUGAAGAAGGUGAAGAAGGAGAAGAGGAGGAAUUAGAAGGUGACGAGGAGGGAGAAGACGAGGAUGAUGCGGAAAUUAACCCCAAGGUGUAAUUUUUGUCUGUUAAUCAUUCAUACGUUUCUAGAAGGAACCCAGCCAGCCGGCGGAAUGCAAGCAGCAGUAGGAAGCGGAGGCGGGUGCCUGGCAGACCGGCUGUCGGGACUCCAGGCCUGUGGGCGGGGCCUCGGUCCUUGCCGCAGCACAAUCCCGUGGACAGAGCUUACUCCAUCUAACUCGUUUUCAAGUGCAUGAUUUUCACUUUCACUUUUCCUUUUUCCUUAUUAUUUUGCUUAACUU